RNAcentral lists this long non-coding RNA (1648 nucleotides) under Homo sapiens (human). RNAcentral describes it as "non-protein coding lnc-CST7-1:3". The record is from RNAcentral. Lineage: Eukaryota; Metazoa; Chordata; Mammalia; Primates; Hominidae.
CCGACAGCAUAAUGUGAGGCAAGGUCUAGCUGUUCCCCCCCGGCAUACAAGCUUAUAGAGCAGCCUCCUUUGAAGAUCUCCAGGUGGACUUCACAGAGAUGCCAAAGUGUGGAGUUCACCUUUUCUCCCCAGGUGUUCGAGUGUGGAUCAAGGACUGGAACGUAGCCUCUUUGUGCCCAUGGUGGAAAGGACCCCAGACUGUCGUCCUGAUCACUCCCACUGCUGUGAACGUAGAGAGAAUCCUAGCCUGGAUCCAUCACAACCGUGUAAAACCUGCAGCGCCUGAAUCCUGGGAGGCAAGACCAAGUCUGGACAACCCCUGCAGAGUGACCCUGAAGAAGAUGACAAGCCCUGCUCCAGUCACACCCAGAAGCUGACUGGUCCACGCACAGCCGAAGCAUGAGGAAGCUCAUUGUGGGCUUCAUUUUUCUUAAAUUUUGGACUUACAGUAAGGGCUUCAACUGUUCUUACUCAAACUGGGGACUAUUCCCAGUGUAUUCAUCAGGUCAGUGAGGUAGGACAGCAAAUGAAAACAAUCUUUCUGUUCUAUAGUUAUUAUCAAUGUAUGGGAACGUUAAAAGAGACUUGUUUGUAUAAUGCCACUCAGUACAAGGUAUGUAGCCCAGGAAAUGACUGACCUGAUGUGUGUUAUAACCCAUCUGAGCCCCCUACAACCACCAGUUUUGAAAUAAGAUUAAGAACUGGCCUUUUCCUAGGUGAUACAAGUGAAAUAAUAACUAGAACAGAAGAAAAAGGAAUCCCCAAACAAGUAACUUUAAGAUUUGACGCUUGUGCAGCCAUUAAUAGUAACAAGCUAGGAACAGGAUGUGGUUCUCUUAACUGGGAAAGGAGCUACAGAGUAGAAAAUAAAUAUGUUUGUCAUGAGUCAGGGGUUUGUGAAAAUUGUGCCUUUUGGCCAUGUGUUAUUUAGGCUACUUGGAAAAAGAACAAAAAGGACUUGGUUCAUCUUCAGAAAGGGGAAGCCAACCCCUCCUGUGCUGCCAGUCACUGUAACCCACUAGAACUAAUAAUUACCAAUCCCCUAGAUCCCCAUUGGAAAAAGGGAGAAUGUGUAACCCUGGGGAUCAAAGGGACAGGGUUAAACCCCCAAGUUGCCAUUUUAGUUCAAGGGGAGGUCCACAAGCACUCUCCCAAACCAGUGUUUCAAACCUUUUAUGAGGAGUUAAAUCUGCCAGCACCAGAACUUCUGAAAAAGAUAAAAAAUUUGUUUCUCCAAUUAGCAGAAAAUGUAGCUCAUUCCCUUAAUGUUACUUCUUGUUAUAUAUGCGGGGGAACCACUAUCAGAGACCGAUGGCCUUGGGAAGCCUGAGAGUUGGUGCCCACUGAUCCAGCUCCUGAUAUAAUGGGGGCUUGUCCAGGAUCUCAUCAGGACUGGAUGGCUCUCGCUGGACUAUACUGGAUAUGUGGGCAGAGAGCCUACAUUCAGUUACCUAAUGAAUGGGCAGACAGUUGUGUUAUUGGCACUAUUAAGCCAUCCUUUUUCUUAUUACCGAUAAAAACUACUGGUACUAUCUGUAAAUUCCAGACAUUGUAUGAGAAAGCACUGUAAAACUUUUUGUUCUGUUAGCUGAUAUAUGUAGCCUCCAGUCACAUUCCUCAUGCUUACUUGAUCUAUCAUGACCCUUUC